AAUCGAUGGCCCCGUAGAAGAUAACGCACCGGAAGCUUAAUCAUCGUACUCCUGGCGGCGAUGGUGGUGGUGCUUCUGAUAACGCUGCUUCUUUUCAUCAUCAGAGUCAUUGUCAUCAUGUUUCUUGCGGCCGUAGCCUCCCUGGUAUUCGUCUCCCCCGCCAUAGCUCGGCUUGUUGUAUCCACCACUCUCAUACGCAGGCUUCUCGCCGUACCCAUACCCAUAAGAACCCUG
RNAcentral lists this unclassified non-coding RNA (234 nucleotides) under Hevea brasiliensis (rubber tree). Lineage: Eukaryota; Viridiplantae; Streptophyta; Magnoliopsida; Malpighiales; Euphorbiaceae. The record is from RNAcentral.